GAUGAGAAGCUUCGAUUAAGGUUCGACUCGAGCGGAAGCGAGAGAACGUUGCCAACGGCAACGGCCCGAAGGGCGCGACGCGCCGAGUCAUCCUUCCCCUACCAUAA
Molecule: small RNA, 107 nt
Filed under: Salmonella enterica subsp. houtenae
Lineage: Bacteria; Pseudomonadati; Pseudomonadota; Gammaproteobacteria; Enterobacterales; Enterobacteriaceae
Description: partial RtT sRNA
Rfam family: RtT RNA
About the family: This family represents a bacterial cis-regulatory element known as RtT RNA. The exact function of RtT is unknown although it is thought that it may be involved in changing the cellular response in relation to amino acid starvation.
Source: RNAcentral